This 60-nucleotide transfer RNA is filed under the name Dirofilaria immitis (dog heartworm nematode). Its description in RNAcentral is "transfer RNA-Thr". Lineage: Eukaryota; Metazoa; Nematoda; Chromadorea; Rhabditida; Onchocercidae. The record is from RNAcentral.
GCUGUUAUAGUUUAAGUUUUGAAAAUUUCUAAUUUGUAAUUAAAGGAGUGUGUGUCAGUU